Molecule: ribosomal RNA, 440 nt
Filed under: uncultured bacterium
Lineage: Bacteria
Description: partial 16S ribosomal RNA
Rfam family: Bacterial small subunit ribosomal RNA
Source: RNAcentral
CCUACGGGAGGCAGCAGUGGGGAAUAUUGCACAAUGGGGGAAACCCUGAUGCAGCGACGCCGCGUGAGUGAAGAAGUACUUCGUUAUUUUAAGCUCUAUCAGCAUGGAAGAAAAUUACGGUACCUGAGUAAUAAUCCCCGUCUAACUACGUGCCAGCAGCCGCGGUAAUACGUAGGGGGCAAGCGUUAUCCGGAUUUACUGGGUGUAAAGGGAGCGUAGACGGAAGUGGAAGUCAGGAGUGAAAGGCGGGGGCUCAACCCGCAGACUGCUGUGGAAACUGUACGGCUGGAGUGCAGGAGAGGUAAGUGGAAUUCGUGGUGUAGCGGUGAAAUGCGUAGAUAUUAGGAGGAACACCGGUGGCGAAGGCGGCUUACUGGACUGUAACUGACGUUGAGGCUCGAAAGCGUGGGGAGCAAACAGGAUUAGAUACCCCAGUAGUC